ACUCGGGGGCUCUCGGGAUACUUUAACAGUGCAGUCGAACGGCAGCGCGGACUUCGGUCUGGCGGCGAGUGGCGAACGGGUGAGUAAUAUAUCGGAACGUACCCAGUAGCGGGGGAUAACUACUCGAAAGAGUAGCUAAUACCGCAUACGCCCUACGGGGGAAAGGGGGGGAUCGCAAGACCUCUCACUAUUGGAGCGGCCGAUAUCGGAUUAGCUAGUUGGUGGGGUAAAGGCCUACCAAGGCGACGAUCCGUAGCUGGUUUGAGAGGACGACCAGCCACACUGGGACUGAGACACGGCCCAGACUCCUACGGGAGGCAGCAGUGGGGAAUUUUGGACAAUGGGGGCAACCCUGAUCCAGCCAUCCCGCGUGUGCGAUGAAGGCCUUCGGGUUGUAAAGCACUUUUGGCAGGAAAGAAAUCGCACGGGUUAAUACCUUGUGUGGAUGACGGUACCUGCAGAAUAAGC
RNAcentral lists this ribosomal RNA (468 nucleotides) under uncultured beta proteobacterium. RNAcentral describes it as "bacterial SSU rRNA". It matches the Rfam family "Bacterial small subunit ribosomal RNA", at positions 35 to 491 of the family's 1533-position model. Lineage: Bacteria; Pseudomonadati; Pseudomonadota; Betaproteobacteria. The record is from RNAcentral.